CAAGAAAAGUCCAAAAUCCAUUUCCAGGGCAGAGGCCUGAGACGGAGAAAGGAGUGCUGGCCCCGCAGCGAGCUGAGAGCUGACGGUGGCUACAACAGGGCUUCCCCGGCCGAACCGGAACCGGGCGUCCAGAGCCUGGGAGCCGGACCAGCCACUGAAACGAUGAAAACACGGAGGGGAAGAGGCCGUUUCUGCAGUUUCCCAACUGCGCCGGUCCUGGGAGCGGCCUCCCAUAACGAGCAGCAGCCCUGGCCCGGCCUGAAAGGCGAACAUGCCCAGCGUCUGGCCUCCGCCGCGCAGCCCCAGCUCCCUGCCUGACACACACAUGGUCGCGCCCCACCGACGAUUUGAAAGGUCGCAUUUUGCCCCUGUUACAACUCCCCCUCUUCUCAUUAAAAAAAAAAAAGAAAUAAUAAAAUACAAACUCGC
Molecule: long non-coding RNA, 429 nt
Filed under: Sus scrofa (pig)
Lineage: Eukaryota; Metazoa; Chordata; Mammalia; Artiodactyla; Suidae
Description: lncRNA (ENSSSCG00030053746.1, ENSSSCG00045019011.1, ENSSSCG00050004613.1, ENSSSCG00060028983.1)
Source: RNAcentral